AAAUGACUCAUUCAACGUUUUUUGGUGUACUUACUUUAUGCCCGGCACUGUGCUAGGUUCUGGAAAUAUAAAACAUCCACGCAGCCCAUGUGAGUACCAGCCUGUUGGACCUUAAACUGCUGUCAGCGAUUUAACAGAGGUAACACGAGAAGACCAGCUCCCCGCGGUUUCCUCCCUCCACCGGUUUCCCAGCACGCUGACCUCCACCUACCUCUCUCAGUUCCCAGGAGGAUAAGAUUGCCCAGAGGCGUCCAGCAGUGAACACAGUAAAACUGUUUAAGGUGAUUGCAAACCUAUGGAUGAGAGCAAGGAAGAAUUUUCACACCAUCAUAACAUUUUAUUCCUCACCUGACUGGGAGCAGCUCGAAGGGAAGGACAUGUCUCCAAAGACAUGAGGAGUAUCCAACGUGGCAUUUGAGGCGCAAGGAAAAACCUGCAUAUCCCAAGGUCUCAGCCCCAUCAGCCAGCCAAGGGAUCCACAGUGACCCUUAAGAAGUUUCAUAAAGAAGCUAAUUGCUUAAAUGAGAUUUGAGUCAAGAAGGAUGACCUAGCCAUAACCUCUACAUAUCUCAUUACUCCAAAACUUAAAUGGCUACAUAAGAGGACAGUCCAGUGACAGACAUGGAAAGAGGCUUAGAGGUCAUCUCAUCCAUCACACCAUUUUUACAGAGGAAAGCAAAAUGCCAUCCAGAGAAGGAAAGUAACAAAGCCAUCUAGCCCCAGACCUGGGAGUAGCAGCUGAUCACAGCGGGUUGGACACAAGAAGCUGCUUCCAAAAAUGUUUCCUUCCAUUUGUCCUACAGCGAAGAUGCCAGACAACAAAAUUUUAUAAGCAUGUCUCUAGCUCUAACUCACUAUUCAACUAAAGGACAAAUUAAAUAGGGAAUGAGAUAAUCUUAACUUCAUGAGAUUUGUUCUUAUAUGCAGUUUCUACCUGAGAAACCAAUCUAUGCUAAAGAUAAUAUUUGUGCUUUUCAAUAAGGCUGGUAAAAUAUUUGCACUUUGAAGAUCAGAGCGAUAACAUUUAUUCAUUCGGGUGAAACUUACCAGGAUUUGGUAAAUAUAAUCAUAGCAAAACAAAAAUGAUUUGGGAAACUCUGUGACCAAAACCAACAGGUGUAUUCAGUACUGCUUUGAAGGUCACCUAAUUCUAAUAACAUUUAUAUUUAUAAAUGUCCUCUAAAUCUUUUAUCUUCUGCAAAUAAAUUAUUUCUCACAAUUACAAGGUUAGUCCAAUACAUCAGCCUAUUUUCAGAGUCCAGAGUGCUAACCAUUACACGAUGCAACCAGCCUAUUUUCAAGCAUGUCCUCAGUGUCUCCAGGAUGAGGACACACUGUGGGGCUUUUCACACUUCUCUCUCCCAUCACCUGCCCCUCUCCUUCCAUAUUUAAUAUAUUGUUGCAUUUCUGUCAAAUUAGCUGGAAGAGUAGUGUUUAAUCAGGUGUACACACUGCCACAGUAACCUGGAAACUUCAAAUUCUACCCCUAAUCACUAAUGUUGAAGACUUGCUAAAACAGUUUUUUUUGUUUGUUUUGCUUUUUGAGAUGGAGUCUAGCUCUGUUGCCCAGGCUGGAGUGCAGUGGUGCAGUUAUCAGCUCACUGCAACCUCUGCCUCCUGCGUUCAAACAAUUAUCCUGCCUCAGCCUCCCGAGUAGCUGGGAUUACAGACAUGUGCCACGAUGCCCAGCUAAUUGCUUGUAUUUUUAGUAGAGAUGGGGUUUCAUCAUGUUGGCCAGGCUGGUCUCAAACUCCUGACCUCAAGUGAUCUUCCUGCCUCGGCCUCCCAAAGUGCUGGGAUUACAGGCAUGAGCCACCAGGCCCACCUGAACAGUUUUAAAAAUUGUGUAAAUAACACCUACCAUAACAUUUACCAUCUGAACCACCUUUGAGUGUGCAAUAUAGUGUUAACUGUAUUGCAUAUUGUUGUAUGACAGAUGUCUAGAACCUUCUCACCUUUGCAUAAUUGAAACUUCAUACCCAUCAAAGAACAACUCUCCAUUUCCUCUCCCCCCAACUCCUGGCAACCACAUUCUGCUUUUUGUUUUCAUGAGUUUGAUUACUUUAAAUACCCCAUGUUCGUGAAAUCAUGCAAUAUUUUUCUCUUUGUGACUGGCUAAUUUCACUUAGCAUAAUGUUUGCUGCUAAUCAUCUUUGACAUGCACUGUUCUACCCAACAAACAUGAGCUGAGGGCCUAGUGCUGGCUAACAUUGCCAGGAAUAGCUGUCAUACUAGAAAAAUCUACUUGUAAAAUGGUAAAAAUAGCAGCAUGGAUUUGUAGAGGGUUUUCACACAUAACUAUGUCAUCAUUUAAAGCAGGGUUGCUCACCGUUGACACUAUCAAUAUUUUAGACCAGAUAAUUGUCUGUGGUGGGGGCUGUCCUGUUCGUUGUUAGAUGUUUAGCAGCAUACGUGGCGUCUACCCACUAGAUGCUAGUAGCAUCUUCCCUCUCCCACUGUGACAACCAAAAAUGUCUCCACGCAUUGCUAAAUGUCCCCUGUGGGGCAACCUUGGACCAAUAAGCUACCUUCCAAAAGAAGUAAAAUGCAGCUAACAAAACUGUAUGAGGUUUGUAUAAUGACUUGUAAUAGCCGGGCAUGAUGACAUGCACCUGUAGUACCAGCUACUGGGGAGGCUGAGGUGGGCGGAUUACUGGAGCCCAGGAGUUCAAGGCUGCAGUGCAUUGUGAUCCAGCCUGUAAACAGCCACUGUACUCCAGCCUGGCCAACAUAGCACGAUCUGCUCUCUAAAAAGCAAAACAAACAAAAACAGUGUAUGAAGCUACCUGGCACAUAACAGCCACUUAAUAAAUAAGAGUUGUUAUUAUUUAAUAACAUCAUAUAAAAUAUAUGAAAUUGAGUAGCUGGAUAUUGAGUAUAACCCAUUAAUGGGACAUUGAACAAUAGAGGUUCACUGGAUAGGAACUGGAAUAUUUUUAUUCGAAAUCUGGCUCUACCUCUAAUUAGAUGUGUGAUGUUGGCAAAAUCUCUGAGUCUCUUUGGGUCUCAGUUCUACCAACUGUUAAGGGAGAUUACAUAAACUUGCCCUGUGUACUUUAUAAGGUUAUAAUGAUAUUAAAGUUAUAUAAUAAAAGGAAGGUACUUUGAAAGUAGGAACUUGUUACACAUGCAAGCCAUUGUUAUAAUGCAAAUUUUCUGUAACGACUUUAUUGAAACUUGAUUCAUAUACCAUACAAUUCUCCCA
Molecule: long non-coding RNA, 3205 nt
Organism: Symphalangus syndactylus (siamang)
Lineage: Eukaryota; Metazoa; Chordata; Mammalia; Primates; Hylobatidae
Source: RefSeq, a predicted model, not a curated record